UUACGGCCACAUCACAAUGAAACCCCGGUUCUCCUCCGAUCACCGAAGUUAAGCAACUUUGAACCUGGUCAGUACCUAGAUGGGUGACUGCAGGGGAAUACCAAGUGCUGUAA
This is a non-coding RNA of Acanthosepion pharaonis, 113 nucleotides long. NCBI's taxonomy places the organism in Eukaryota, Metazoa, Mollusca, Cephalopoda, Sepiida, Sepiidae. The record is from the annotation of a GenBank genome assembly.